AUGGAGGCCAAGGCGGGGAAUUCGGGCAUGCUGUACCACGAGCUGCAGGUGCGGCAGCUCUGCGGGCUCCAUGCCCUCAACGCGGCGCUGCAGGGGCCGUUCUUCAGCGAGUCGGACCUGCUGGAGAUCGCGGCGGACCUCGACGCCCGCGAGCGGAAGGUGAUGUCCCGCGCCGGCGGCGUGGGGGCGGGGGAUUUCCUAGCCGAGGGCCAGGGAUCCCACAACGUCUCCAACAACGGGGACUUCAGCGUGGAGGUUUUGAAGAGGGCACUAGAGGUAUGGGACCUCCAAUUUAUCUCCAUGUAUUCCCAAGCUGCAGCGGGAUCCCAAUCCAAGCCUGAACUGGAAACUGCCUUCAUCUGCCACUUCCAGAAUCACUGGUUCUGCAUUAGGAACGUGGAUGGGGAGUGGUACAACUUCGAUAGUCUGUACCCGGCCCCUGAGUACCUCUCUCAGUUUUUCCUCUCAGAUUACCUUGACAACAUGAGGGGUCCUGGCUCAAACAUCUAUGUGGUAAGGGGCACUUUUCCCAGGGACUGCCCUUCUGAUAACAACGAUUUUGGCCGGUGGCUGCGUCCUGAGGAAGCCAGGACCAUUACACAUUCACGCUUCAAGGCGCAGAAGAAACAGGGGAGCAACACUGCAAUAGUGAUUGCCUCGAGGAGGUAUCUCACAGUGGGGGUAGCUGCUGGCUUGAGGGGCCUUGAAGUUCCAGGCACCAAGACUGAAGUACCUCGUCAGCAACCUUACGAACAACAGGGCAUGACUAUGAUGCAAGAGGAGAGUGAUGACGAGCUGAAGGCGGCAAUAGCUAUUAGCUUGAUGCCGUUUGAAGCUCCAGCGACCAGUUCUCAACCAGGCCAAGAAGAGAGAGAUUUGAUCAGCAAGGACGCCACCAUGGAGGAACCUGGCUCCAGCAACUCUGAAGGGCUGAUGAAAGAAGAUUAG
RNAcentral lists this ribosomal RNA (948 nucleotides) under Triticum aestivum (bread wheat). Its description in RNAcentral is "partial small subunit ribosomal RNA". The record is from RNAcentral. Lineage: Eukaryota; Viridiplantae; Streptophyta; Magnoliopsida; Poales; Poaceae.